Molecule: long non-coding RNA, 112 nt
Organism: Etheostoma cragini (Arkansas darter)
Lineage: Eukaryota; Metazoa; Chordata; Actinopteri; Perciformes; Percidae
Exons: 3
Source: RefSeq, a predicted model, not a curated record
ACUUAUUUGUGAAAAAGACCAUCACUUUGAGCAGACUGGAUUGGCUGUAGUGAUACAGUCUUUCUCUCUCCCUGUCAGCAUUAGCUCUCUCUGCCUGGACUAGUAAUGUAUC